UACGUAGGGGGCAAGCGUUGUUCGGAUUUAUUGGGCGUAAAGCGCUCGCAGGUGGUUCGUUGCGUCGGGCGUGAAAGACCCCGGCUCAACUGGGGAGGGUCGUGCGAUACGGUCGAACUGGAGGCCAGUAGGGGGAUGCGGAAUUCCGGGUGUAGUGGUGGAAUGCGUAGAGAUCCGGAGGAACACCAGCGGCGAAGGCGGCAUCCUGGACUGGUCCUGACACUCAGGAGCGAAAGCGUGGGGAGCGAUCCGG
Molecule: ribosomal RNA, 253 nt
Filed under: uncultured bacterium
Lineage: Bacteria
Description: partial 16S ribosomal RNA
Rfam family: Bacterial small subunit ribosomal RNA
Source: RNAcentral